This is a long non-coding RNA of Onychostoma macrolepis, 807 nucleotides long. RefSeq lists it as uncharacterized. The transcript is spliced from 3 exons. NCBI's taxonomy places the organism in Eukaryota, Metazoa, Chordata, Actinopteri, Cypriniformes, Cyprinidae. The record is from RefSeq and is a predicted model, not a curated record.
ACUGUUAGUAAAUCGGAGAAGAACGUUUAUGCGUUCAAUUUACAUGCACUCCAUUCAACUCUAAUAUAUUCAGAUUGGCAUCUCUCGGUGUGGAGUACUUUAAAAAAAAACAUAAUUCAAGAUUCAUUCACACGCUACAGGGAUGUACAACAAGUUUGAAGUCAAGCAAAAGGGAUGAGGAUAAUGACUUCAACCUCAACUGUCAACUUUAUGACACUGGCUCAUGUAUGAUAGUGAUUUCGUCCAACUAACUUGUUAAACUGAUGGCGUUACCGCACUCCCCGGCAUCUACUACUUUAUUUGGAGUGGGACCACAAAUCUGUCGUACUGCUCUUCAGAGAGCCGAUUCUGCAUAAUGAACCUAUGACAUCAGACUUUUCCUGGAGAUCAGCAGGUUCAGGAAUUGCUCCCUGUCCGCCGCAGAGUGUUCUUGCCCAGGAUGCCCAUGCACAACAACCCUGAUAUUUUUUUAAAAGAUAGCCCCUUCUGGACUGUGGAGUUGAGGUGGGAUUUCGAUGUAUUCUAUGUCUUAAAAAAAGGAAACCAGUCACUUCAAGCUCGAUGAAUCCUUGAAUAAUUCUGCUAGGUGCUUUUUCUAAAAGGCUAUGUUAUUCCCAAUCUCAGCUCAAUACCUUUGGACGAUAACCUGUAUCCACCAGAGACUCUGGCCAACUUUAUGCAUGGUGUGCAUCAUUAAAUUUAAUAGAUGAAUUAGAGUGACUGCAACCGUGUGGUUAGUUAAUUAUUUCAUUAUUGAAAUCUGGUUUCAUGUUGCAUGUGCAAACUACAAAAGUCUGAUUAAAAACA